GGCAGACACAGCCACACAGGCAUCCAGGGCCCCUAGAAAUUCUAAGAGUGGUGCCUCCUGCAGCCCUAACCAUCUCUCCCUGAGUGGAGAGGUGAGUUUCCAGAGAGCAGGGCUCCACACCUGGACAGACUGGGCAGGAGAGGCCCUGAGUAAGCAGAUGUGCCCCUUCCCAGAGCUUGGAACAGACUCCUAGUCACUCAUUUUGCUCAGUAAAUGGCUAUUCUUCUUGCCAGGAGAAGUGCUUGCU
This is a non-coding RNA of Rattus norvegicus (Norway rat), 247 nucleotides long. Ensembl annotates it as Nuclear RNase P. The record is from Ensembl. Lineage: Eukaryota; Metazoa; Chordata; Mammalia; Rodentia; Muridae.